ACGGGGUAGGAAUGGUCGGUGACGUACCCUUCGGACGGGGAUAGCCACGGGAAACUGUGGGUAAUAUUCGAUAAACUCCCGGAACGUAAUGGUUUUGGGAGCAAAGGUGAGAUUCCACCGGAGGAGCGGCUGACUUAGUAUUAGCUAGUUGGUGAGGUAAAAGCUCACCAAGGCUUCGAUGCUUAGGGGGUGUGAGAGCAUGACCCCCACCACUGGGACUGAGAUACUGCCCAGACACCUACGGGUGGCUGCAGUCGAGGAUCUUCGGCAAUGGGCGCAAGCCUGACCGAGCGACGCCGCGUGUGGGAUGAAGGCCCUUGGGUUGUAAACCACUGUCGAGGGGAAUGAAAUGCGUGUGGGUACUCCCAUGCGUUUGACGGAACCCUGGAGGAAGCACGGGCUAAGUUCGUGCCAGCAGCCGCGGUAAUACGAACUGUGCGAACGUUAUUCGGAAUCACUGGGCUUAAAGGGUGCGUAGGCGGCUUGUUAAGCAGGGUGUGAAAGCCCUCGGCUCAACCGAGGAAUAGCGCUCUGAACUGGCGAGCUGGAGUGAUGCAGGGGUGCGCGGAACUUCCAGUGGAGCGGUGAAA
Molecule: ribosomal RNA, 590 nt
Filed under: uncultured bacterium
Lineage: Bacteria
Description: bacterial SSU rRNA
Rfam family: Bacterial small subunit ribosomal RNA
Source: RNAcentral